This 72-nucleotide transfer RNA is filed under the name Cryptococcus neoformans. RNAcentral describes it as "tRNA-Glu". It matches the Rfam family "tRNA". From Rfam's summary of the family: Transfer RNA (tRNA) molecules are approximately 80 nucleotides in length. Their secondary structure includes four short double-helical elements and three loops (D, anti-codon, and T loops). Lineage: Eukaryota; Fungi; Basidiomycota; Tremellomycetes; Tremellales; Cryptococcaceae. RNAcentral also lists the same sequence under 3 other names. The record is from RNAcentral.
GACGUCAUCGUAUAAAGGUUAAUACUCCUGCCCUUCACGUAGGCAAUGCGAGUUCGAUUCUCGCUGACGUUA